UACGGAGGGGGCUAGCGUUAAUCGGAAUUACUGGGCGUAAAGUGUGCGCAGGCGGCGUCGCAAGUCGAGUGUGAAAGCCCCGGGCUUAACUUGGGAAUUGCGCUCGAAACUACGAUGCUGGAGUGUGGCAGAGGAAGGUGGAAUUCCACGUGUAGCGGUGAAAUGCGUAGAGAUGUGGAGGAACACCAAUGGCAAAGGCAGCCUUCUGGGCCAACACUGACGCUCAUGCACGAAAGCGUGGGGAGCAAACAGG
RNAcentral lists this ribosomal RNA (253 nucleotides) under uncultured bacterium. RNAcentral's name for it is "partial 16S ribosomal RNA". It matches the Rfam family "Bacterial small subunit ribosomal RNA", at positions 524 to 776 of the family's 1533-position model. The record is from RNAcentral.